RNAcentral lists this ribosomal RNA (253 nucleotides) under uncultured bacterium. RNAcentral's name for it is "partial 16S ribosomal RNA". It matches the Rfam family "Bacterial small subunit ribosomal RNA", at positions 524 to 776 of the family's 1533-position model. The record is from RNAcentral.
UACGUAGGGACCGAGCGUUGUCCGGAAUCAUUGGGCGUAAAGAGCGUGUAGGCGGCCCUUUAAGUCCUGCGUGAAAUCCUGCGGCUCAACCGCAGACGGUCGUGGGAAACUGGAGGGCUAGAGUGCGGGAGAGGAGAGUGGAAUUCCCGGUGUAGCGGUGGAAUGCGCAGAUAUCAGGAAGAACACCAACGGCGAAGGCAGCUCGCUGGGACGGAACUGACGCUAAGGCGCGAAAGCGUGGGGAGCGAACAGG